AAAGGUACAGCAUCAGGUGAUGCCAUUCACUUACACUGAACUAAGGGACGUUCAAUUCGUCCUACCUUUA
This 70-nucleotide transfer RNA is filed under the name Paralvinella palmiformis. Its description in RNAcentral is "tRNA-Val". Lineage: Eukaryota; Metazoa; Annelida; Polychaeta; Terebellida; Alvinellidae. The record is from RNAcentral.